GUAGUCCACGCCCUAAACUAUGUCAACUGGUUGUCGGGGGAUUAACUCCCUUGGUAACGAAGCUAACGCGUGAAGUUGACCGCCUGGGGAGUACGGCCGCAAGGUUAAAACUCAAAGGAAUUGACGGGGACCCGCACAAGCGGUGGAUUAUGUGGAUUAAUUCGAUGCAACGCGAAAAACCUUACCUACCCUUGACAUGUACGGAAUCUCCCAGAGAUGGGAGAGUGCCCGAAAGGGAACCGUAACACAGGUGCUGCAUGGCUGUCGUCAGCUCGUGUCGUGAGAUGUUGGGUUAAGUCCCGCAACGAGCGCAACCCUUGUCGUUAAUUGCCAUCAUUUAGUUGGGCACUUUAACGAGACUGCCGGUGACAAACCGGA
Molecule: ribosomal RNA, 378 nt
Filed under: uncultured bacterium
Lineage: Bacteria
Description: bacterial SSU rRNA
Rfam family: Bacterial small subunit ribosomal RNA
Source: RNAcentral